AGUGAACGCUGGCGGUAGGCCUAACACAUGCAAGUCGAACGGCAGCACAGUAAGAGCUUGCUCUUACGGGUGGCGAGUGGCGGACGGGUGAGGAAUACAUCGGAAUCUACUUUUUCGUGGGGGAUAACGUAGGGAAACUUACGCUAAUACCGCAUACGACCUACGGGUGAAAGCAGGGGAUCUUCGGACCUUGCGCGAUUGAAUGAGCCGAUGUCGGAUUAGCUAGUUGGCGGGGUAAAGGCCCACCAAGGCGACGAUCCGUAGCUGGUCUGAGAGGAUGAUCAGCCACACUGGAACUGAGACACGGUCCAGACUCCUACGGGAGGCAGCAGUGGGGAAUAUUGGACAAUGGGCGCAAGCCUGAUCCAGCCAUACCGCGUGGGUGAAGAAGGCCUUCGGGUUGUAAAGCCCUUUUGUUGGGAAAGAAAAGCAGCAGGUUAAAACCCCGCUGUUUUGACGGUACCCAAAGAAUAAGCACCGGCUAACUUCGUG
Molecule: ribosomal RNA, 492 nt
Filed under: uncultured bacterium
Lineage: Bacteria
Description: partial 16S ribosomal RNA
Rfam family: Bacterial small subunit ribosomal RNA
Source: RNAcentral